UGGGGAAUAUUGGACAAUGGGGGGAACCCUGAUCCAGCCAUGCCGCGUGUGUGAAGAAGGCCUUAUGGUUGUAAAGCACUUUAAGCUGGGGGGAGGGUACUGGUAUUAAUACUACCACCUACUGGACGUUACUCGCAGAUUAAGCACCGGCUAACUCUGUGCAAGCAGCCGCGGUAAUACAGAGGGUGCGGGCGUUAAUCGGAUUUACUGGGCGUAAAGCGUGCGUAGGCGGCUAAUUGAGUCGGAUGUGAAAUCCCCGAGCUUAACUUGGGAAUUGCAUUCGAUACUGGUUAGCUAGAGUGUGGGAGAGGAUGGUAGAAUUCCAGGUGUAGCGGUGAAAUGCGUAGAGAUCUGGAGGAAUACCGAUGGCGAAGGCAGCCAUCUGGCCUAACACUGACGCUGAGGUACGAAAGCAUGGGGAGCAAACAGG
RNAcentral lists this ribosomal RNA (430 nucleotides) under Pseudomonadota bacterium. RNAcentral's name for it is "Proteobacteria bacterium partial 16S ribosomal RNA". It matches the Rfam family "Bacterial small subunit ribosomal RNA", at positions 355 to 776 of the family's 1533-position model. The record is from RNAcentral. Lineage: Bacteria; Pseudomonadati; Pseudomonadota.